UGAACGCUGGCGGCAGGCCUAACACAUGCAAGUCGAGCGGUAGCACAAGAGAGCUUGCUCUCCGGGUGACGAGCGGCGGACGGGUGAGUAAUGUCUGGGAAACUGCCUGAUGGCGGGGGAUAACUAGUGGAAACGGUAGCUAAUACCGCAUAACGUCGCAAGACCAAAGUGGGGGACCUUCGGGCCUCACGCCAUCAAAUGUGCCCAGGUGGGAUUAGCUGGUAGGUGGGGUAACGGCUCACCUAGGCGACGAUCCCUAGCUGGUCUGAGAGGAUGACCAGCCACACUGGAACUGAGACACGGUCCAGACUCCUGCGGGAGGCAGCAGUGGGGAAUAUUGCACAAUGGGCGCAAGCCUGAUGCAGCCAUGCCGCGUGUGUGAAGAAGGCCUUCGGGUUGUAAAGCACUUUCAGCGAGGAGGAAAGGUAAUGUGUUAAUAAGACAUUGCAUUGACGUUACUCGCAGAAGAAGCACCGGCUAACUCCGUGCCAGCAGCCGCGGUAAUACGGAGGGUGCAAGCGUUAAUCGGAAUUACUGGGCGUAAAGCGCACGCAGGCGGUUUGUUAAGUCAGAUGUGAAAUCCCCGCGCUCAACGUGGGAACGGCAUUUGAAACUGGCAAGCUAGAGUCUUGUAGAGGGGGGUAGAAUUCCAGGUGUAGCGGUGAAAUGCGUAGAGAUCUGGAGGAAUACCGGUGGCGAAGGCGGCCCCCUGGACAAAGACUGACGCUCAGGUGCGAAAGCGUGGGGAGCAAACAGGAUUAGAUACC
Molecule: ribosomal RNA, 767 nt
Filed under: Serratia symbiotica
Lineage: Bacteria; Pseudomonadati; Pseudomonadota; Gammaproteobacteria; Enterobacterales; Yersiniaceae
Description: bacterial SSU rRNA
Rfam family: Bacterial small subunit ribosomal RNA
Source: RNAcentral